UAGAGGAAGUAAAAGUCGUAACAAGGUUUCCGUAGGUGAACCUGCGGAAGGAUCAUUAUCGUAUAAAAUGGAGGUGCUGGGGCUGUCGCUGACCUUUGAAAAAGGUCGUGCACGCCCGGAGCACUCUCUCAUAUCCAUCUCACCCCUUUGUGCAUUGCCGCGUGGGUCCCCUUUUGGCUUGUUCCGAGGGGGACCUGCGUUUUUACAUAGACACCCUUUGAAUGCAUGUGUAGAACGUCUUACUUUUUGCGAUCACACGCAAUCAAUACAACUUUCAACAACGGAUCUCUUGGCUCUCGCAUCGAUGAAGAACGCAGCGAAAUGCGAUACGUAAUGUGAAUUGCAGAAUUCAGUGAAUCAUCGAAUCUUUGAACGCACCUUGCGCCCCUUGGUAUUCCGAGGGGCACACCCGUUUGAGUGUCGUGAAUACUCUCAACCUUCUUGGUUUCUUUGACCACGAAGGCUUGGACUUUGGAGGUUUUUCUUGCUGGCCUCUUUUGAAGCCAGCUCCUCCUAAAUGAAUGGGUGGGGUCCGCUUUGCUGAUCCUCGACGUGAUAAGCAUUUCUUCUACGUCUUAGUGUCAGCUCGGAACCCGCUUUCCAACCGUCUUUGCACAAAGACAAUGUUCGAGUUGUGACUCGACCUUACAAACCUUGACCUCAAAUCGGGUGAGACUACCCGCUGAACUUAAGCAUAUCAAUAAGGCGGGAGGAA
This 715-nucleotide ribosomal RNA is filed under the name uncultured Russula. RNAcentral describes it as "eukaryotic LSU rRNA". The stretch from base 270 to 423 matches the Rfam family "5.8S ribosomal RNA". The record is from RNAcentral. Lineage: Eukaryota; Fungi; Basidiomycota; Agaricomycetes; Russulales; Russulaceae.